Oncorhynchus tshawytscha (Chinook salmon) is the source of this 624-nucleotide long non-coding RNA. NCBI's taxonomy places the organism in Eukaryota, Metazoa, Chordata, Actinopteri, Salmoniformes, Salmonidae. The record is from Ensembl.
AGGUGGUGGUGGAGGUGGUGGUGGUUGUAGAGGUAGUGGUGGAGUUGGUGGAGGUAGUGGUGGUGGAGGUAGUGGUAUUGUAGAGGUGGUGGAUCUGGUGGUGGAUCUGGUGGUGGUUGUAAAGGUGGUGGUUGUAGAGGUGGUGGUGGUGGUGGUGGUUGUAGAGGUGGUGGAGGUGGUGGUGGUGGUGUUGUGGAGGUGGUUGAGGUGGUGGUGGUGGAGGUAGUGGUGGUUGUAGUGGUGGUGGUGGAGGAGAGGUAGUGGUGGAGAAGUAGUGGUGGAGGUAGUGGUGGAGGUGGUGGUGGUGUUGGUGGUGGUUGUAGAGGUAGUGGUGGAGGUGGUGGUGGUUGUAGAGGUAGUGGUGGAGGUGCUGGAGUUGGUGGAUGUAGUGGUGAAGGUGGUGGAGGUAGUGGUGGUUUAGGAGGUAGAGGUGGAGGUGGUGGAGGUGAUGGUGGUUUUAGAGGUAGUGUUGGAGGUGGAGGUGGUUGUAGAGGUAGUGGUGGAGGUGGUGGUGGUUGUGGAAGUAGUGGUGGAGGUGGAGGUGAAGGUGGAGGUGGUGGAGGUGGUGGUGGUUGUAGAGGUAGUGGUGGAGUUGGUGGAGGUAGUGGUGGUGGAGGUAGUGGU